UACGAAGGGGACUAGCGUUGUUCGGAAUCACUGGGCGUAAAGCGCACGUAGGCGGAUAUGUCAGUCAGGGGUGAAAUCCCGGGGCUCAACCUCGGAACUGCCUUUGAUACAGCAUGUCUUGAGUCCGAUAGAGGUGGGUGGAAUUCCUAGUGUAGAGGUGAAAUUCGUAGAUAUUAGGAAGAACACCGGUGGCGAAGGCGGCCCACUGGAUCGGUACUGACGCUGAGGUGCGAAAGCGUGGGGAGCGAACAGG
This 253-nucleotide ribosomal RNA is filed under the name uncultured bacterium. RNAcentral describes it as "partial 16S ribosomal RNA". It matches the Rfam family "Bacterial small subunit ribosomal RNA", at positions 524 to 776 of the family's 1533-position model. The record is from RNAcentral.